GUCCCAACUUCAUUGGAAUCGGGGUUGUAGUUUGAAAGUAACUUAGUUACUUCACAGAUUACUUGAGCGCUGGGUUUGGGAUUGUCGUUCCAUCAGUAAAGUAACAGAGGUAAUUUUUCAAGGUAACUGGCAACACUGAGUUUCCGAACGUUCUGGAGAGCAGAGAGCGUGUUCUUGAGUAAAUUUCCCAACGUACCUUGUGUCGCGGUAUUGUGCGAUUGUUGUUCUGCGCAACUAAGUGUAAUCUAUGCAGAUGUGUACGUAUAAUGCUACUAUAUGUUUGUGAGAAGAGCUGUGUGUGUAUCUGUAAAGGAAUGUGGCAAGCAAAACGUGGACGCCGUGUCGCGUAACCCUCUCGGGUCACCUCACGAACUACGUAGCCGAUAUGUAGACCCCCACCCCCGCCCCCCACGGUGAGACGGUUGGAAAACCUAACAAUACGUGCUGAAUAGACAGCUGGGGACUAAAGGUCCGCGAGGGCCGUGCAAAAGAUGACUGGACCGAGGUCCUCGGACCCCCCACAUAUGCAACGAGCGACCUAAACAAUAAACUGUCCCUGCGACAGCGGCACCGUGUGUUAACAGUAGCGACAGCGUGAAAUGGAGACCACGCACAGAGAUCCUGCGCGCAGCGGUUAAAGGUCACGUGCGGUAAGACGAGAGGUGGCUGCUAAAAAAAGAAAGGGGCCGCUCGCUGGCAGAACACGGACGGCUCGUCGCGGCUCUGCAAAGGGGAAACGUCGUUCUGCGAAAUGAUCUCGGCCCCCGGCAUCAGCCGGUGGGCGGGGCCCAUCGUCGACGGGGCCCAUCGUCGCUGCUGGACUACGUGGGUCACGUGCGCCUCUGCUCUCGCCUGCUCGACCGCUUGGACAGUUUCGACGACUGGAGCGUCAUUAAAGACAAAGCCGCUGUGUCGCGUGCGCGUCGUGCAGGUGGUCGGACGGCGGCGCUUGAAGAGUUUGCCGCUCCCCGCGGGCCUCGUCCGCUUCCUGCAGCACCGGGAAGCUUCUGUGGAUUUCUGAACGCGGAUCCGUUCGGGAGUCCAAAGCGAACACGCGCGGCUCGACGUCGACGGCCAACGCGUCGUCGUGCGACCUUUCACCCCGGCUCUGCCAAAGCGGGCACGUAGGAAGUUCGGCGGCGCCUUGAGAUUACGUUUUUGGAGAUACGAGCAGCUCAUACGCCCACCCAAAACAUCAGAAACUUACUGCAAGCGGUUUUCUCAAUUUAGAAGGGGCCUGGAAUCUCCACGUUUGAGCAGACAGUGCCGGACAAAUAAUACAAUGCAUGAAAGCUGUUGUUUUUGUCGCCUUCUCUGGCAACGACGACCUUCCCAACAUGGCGCCACGUAGCCACGUCGAGUAGCCGUUCUGGCGCAUCUCGUUUUUAUAGCUACGCCCGCGAAGCCCGAUAGAAGAACCCCGGUCCUCAGAACUGUGGGGCAGAUGUGCUGACCGGUCGUCCCCCACCAGCUGCCAUAAUUAUCAAAAUCGGAACGAAUAAAGGCUUGAAAUAUUUCACUGUGUGUGUGUGGUGAACUAAUAUAACAUAGA
Molecule: long non-coding RNA, 1552 nt
Organism: Phycodurus eques (leafy seadragon)
Lineage: Eukaryota; Metazoa; Chordata; Actinopteri; Syngnathiformes; Syngnathidae
Exons: 3
Source: RefSeq, a predicted model, not a curated record